AUGUUCCCUAGUUCCUCUCGUAGCUCUCUCCCUGAAUACAAAGCUCGGUUAGGUAUCUCAAAAUAUUCUACAUGUAAACGCUCGACUCCAGCUAUGGUUGAGAUGGAGGCGAGACUGGCGGAGUUGAGGCGAGUGGCGGCGGAGGAGAGGGCGGAGGAGAGGCGACUAGCUGAUGAGAGGACGCAGCAAGCGGUGCAGCAGGCGGUGCAGCAGGCGGUGUUGGCACAAACUAGUCAAUGCUUUGCAAUGUUUGCGGCUUAUUGUACCCAGAAUGGUAUGCCCGCUAUGCUGAUGCCUCAUCAAUCAGGCCAUGGAUCUAAUACUGAUGCAUCUUCACAUGCACGAGGCCCAAGUGACAACAACCUUGAUGGUUCUCCGAAUGUUUGA
Molecule: ribosomal RNA, 387 nt
Filed under: Triticum aestivum (bread wheat)
Lineage: Eukaryota; Viridiplantae; Streptophyta; Magnoliopsida; Poales; Poaceae
Description: partial small subunit ribosomal RNA
Source: RNAcentral